RNAcentral lists this unclassified non-coding RNA (222 nucleotides) under uncultured Tomentella. Its description in RNAcentral is "sequence contains ITS2". Lineage: Eukaryota; Fungi; Basidiomycota; Agaricomycetes; Thelephorales; Thelephoraceae. The record is from RNAcentral.
ACACCUCAACUCUCACAGUUUGCUGUGAUGAGCUUGGACUUUGGAGGUUUUUGCUGGCCUGUGGUCGGCUCCUCUCAAAUGAAUUAGCUUGCCAGUUUUCGGCGGCGUCACAGGUGUGAUAACUAUCUACGCUCGUGGUUGUCUGCUGGGUAACCUUUCGGCAACGGAGGUUUGCUGGAGCUCAUAAACGUCUCUCCUCAGUGAAGACAGCUUUUUGAACGU